RNAcentral lists this long non-coding RNA (810 nucleotides) under Ursus maritimus (polar bear). RNAcentral describes it as "lncRNA (ENSUMAG00000004805.1)". The record is from RNAcentral. Lineage: Eukaryota; Metazoa; Chordata; Mammalia; Carnivora; Ursidae.
UGGAUAGCACAUGUGGUUGGUGGGUAUCAAUUACUGAAAUGACCUCUCACUAUAUUUCUCUACAGAGCAUCCAGGGUGAUCUUUGAAAAAUGGAAAUCAGUUCACAUUGCCCCUGCUUAGAACAUCUAUUGGCUUCCCAUGACAUUUAGUAAAUCCCAAUGACUCAAGUGGGGCAUCCAUUUUGAGGCAGAUGAAGAGCUCCUGUGUUUACCAAUCCUUCUUCCUGAAAUCACAUUAUAAUGAUAGUAAAGAAGUAAAAGAGGAAUCAAUCCAUGAGUGAAAUGAGAGGUGGAAGAGCAGGUCUAUAUUAGCAAAUCAAAUUUUGGUGAAUCUAAGACGGAAGGUAAAUGUGAUUGCACUGAUUGGUAAAGCAGAGAAGAAAGAGCCACAGCUCUGAACACACAAGAAGCUUCAGGGGACAAGAGGGACGCCUUCCAUUUAAAUGAUCCCAGCUACUUAAAUAAUCGGCUACAAAGACCUGGAGUGGAAAGUUACCAGAUCAAGGACAGCGUCGUUGGGCUCGUGGUGCUGUUUGCGACCUUCUUAGUACCGUGUGGUUAUGUGCUGAGCAAUCUUCGUGAGUUCAGAAGAGAGUAAAUGCAAGAAGAUGGGGAGCAGUCAUCAACAUCCCACGAGAUUUAAAUGAGUAACCGUGCUUAGUUGGGGUGAUGACGCAACCAUUGUGGGUAUUCAGUUUCAUAAUCGUUUGUGUAUGGUACCUCUUUUGCACUUUUCCAGUUCUGUGCAUUACAUGAAGAUGAGUUUGUGUAGUCAUUUAAAAAUGUUAAAUAAAGUUGAAACAUUCAUGCA